RNAcentral lists this ribosomal RNA (603 nucleotides) under Triticum aestivum (bread wheat). Its description in RNAcentral is "partial small subunit ribosomal RNA". Lineage: Eukaryota; Viridiplantae; Streptophyta; Magnoliopsida; Poales; Poaceae. The record is from RNAcentral.
AUGUGGGGGCGAAUGUGGAGCUCCGGACGCGGCUCCGGCAGCAGAUCCGGCCGUGAGAGGGACCCGGAGUGCGAGCGGCGCGUCCGGUCCGACGGCACGAGGAAGCGCGGCGCCCGGAAGUGGACCAACCACGGGAUGUCGCCGCCGGCGAGCUUCAACCGCCGCGAGACGGAGGAGUACGACCGCCGGCGCGCGUCCUUCUCCUCCGCGAGGUCUUCCUACGCCGGAUCCUCCUCGUCCUCCGCCGCGGGCUUCCUCCCCGUGAAGAGGGAGUGGUCGGACGAGGAGGAGGAGCCGGAGCUGCCGGCGCCGUUCGCCUUCAUCCCGGGGAAGGAGGAGCCCGCUCCGCUCGGCCGCCGCGGAGUCGUCGGGCCCGAGGACUACGUCGCGGACUUCGACGCCAUCGCCGCCGCCAUCGCCGAGCGGAGCGUGCGCGAGGAGGAGGAGCGUCGGCGCCACGCCGAGGAGCUCGAAGCCCUCGAGUGGCGGCUGGCGAUCGCCGACAACGUCGCCGCCAACGAGAAGGCUGACGAGUGGUGCCGCAUCUGUGCGGAGCAGGCGGAGAAGUACGUCGAUCUGUGCAGCUCCGGCGAGGAGGAUUGA